RNAcentral lists this ribosomal RNA (357 nucleotides) under uncultured Methanolinea sp. Its description in RNAcentral is "bacterial SSU rRNA". It matches the Rfam family "Archaeal small subunit ribosomal RNA", at positions 112 to 480 of the family's 1478-position model. Lineage: Archaea; Methanobacteriati; Methanobacteriota; Methanomicrobia; Methanomicrobiales; Methanoregulaceae. The record is from RNAcentral.
ACGUCUCACGGGAACCCCGGAUACUGGGGAUAAUACCCCAUAGGUUAGGGUGGCUGGAAUGCCCCCUAGCUCAAAGGUCCGCCGCCACAGGAUGGGUCUGCGGCCGAUUAGGUUGUUGUUGGGGUAACGGCCCAACAAGCCUUUGAUCGGUACGGGUUGUGGGAGCAAGAGCCCGGAGAUGGAUUCUGAGACACGAAUCCAGGCCCUACGGGGCGCAGCAGGCGCGAAAACUUUACAAUGCGAGAAAUCGUGAUAAGGGAACCCCGAGUGCCCGUAAAUUCGGGCUGUCCGCCAGUGCAAAAAACUGGUGAAGAAAGAGCCGGGCAAGACCGGUGCCAGCAGCCGCGGUAAUACGAU